UGGGGAAUCUUCCGCAACGGACGAAAGUCUGACGGAGCAACGCCGCGUGAGUGAAGAAGGUUUUCGGAUCGUAAAACUCUGUCUUUUGGGGCGAACGUGAGUAUGGUGAACAAUCAUAGUCAGUGACGGUACCAAAGGAGGAAGCCACGGCUAACUACGUGCCAGCAGCCGCGGUAAUACGUAGGUGGCAAGCGUUGUCCGGAAUUAUUGGGCGUAAAGAGCGCGUAGGCGGGAUAGUCAGUCUGUUGUAAAAGUGCGGGGCUCAACCCCGUGAUGGCAAUGGAAACAGCUAUUCUUGAGUGCAGGAGAGGAAAGUGGAAUUCCCAGUGUAGCGGUGAAAUGCGUAGAUAUUGGGAGGAACACCAGUGGCGAAGGCGACUUUCUGGACUGUGUCUGACGCUGAGGCGCGAAAGCCAGGGGAGCGAACGGGAUUAGAUACCCCGGUAGUCCUGGCCGUAAACGAUGGGUACUAGGUGUGGGAGGUAUCGACCCCCUUCCGUGCCGGAGUUAACGCAAUAAGUACCCCGCCUGGGGAGUACGGUCGCAAGACUGAAACUUAAAUGAAUUGACGGGGUCAUAGCUGUUUCCUG
This 590-nucleotide ribosomal RNA is filed under the name uncultured bacterium. RNAcentral describes it as "partial 16S ribosomal RNA". It matches the Rfam family "Bacterial small subunit ribosomal RNA", at positions 355 to 1376 of the family's 1533-position model. The record is from RNAcentral.